AUGACGCGCGCGGAUUGGAUGCCCUUCCUCGAUCAGAUCAGAAAGAUCAACCCGGCAUGGCAGCGGGGUCUCAUCCAACGCUCGGGACGGCUGAUCCUAGCUAAAACCGUGAUCUCUGCUCGGCCGAUUCAUCAACUUCAUGUUCUGAACGCACCGGACUGGGUCUUGGAAGAGAUUGAUAAGUGCAUGAGGUGCGCGCGCAACCGCUCCGGGAGCUCCAGUGGAGGCGCAAUAACCGCGUGCGCGGUCCGAAACGCCAUCACGCACCGGUUUUUUGGUGCGCCCGCUCCCGCGCGCUGCACACUCGUGCACCCGCUCCGCACCCCCUCCGUCGUGCCGCUUUUGCCCUGCCCGAGCCGUUGCCGACGAAUUCGCCCGAUGGACGGACGCGCCGACAUCCCCCUCACCCCUUCCUACGCCUGCGACCCCUCCGCCGCCGCCGUGGCAUGGGAGCCAUGGGUGGCUUCGGAGCUACCAUGGGCGGCAUGGGUGGCUUCAGAGCUACCAUGGGGGCCAUGGGAGGCACGGGUGGCUUCGAAGCUACCAUGGGAGGCAUGA
This 558-nucleotide ribosomal RNA is filed under the name Triticum aestivum (bread wheat). RNAcentral describes it as "partial small subunit ribosomal RNA". The record is from RNAcentral. Lineage: Eukaryota; Viridiplantae; Streptophyta; Magnoliopsida; Poales; Poaceae.